GUGGCACCAGUCAAGCUUGAAAACAACACGGAUAAGCCUAGUACCAAGCGUACACUGUUGACUGUUUCCUUCUCUCCGCACAUCAGCCCCCAUUCAUUGAAGCAUUUGAGGCAACGGAGAACUAGCACACAGCUAAUUUGAACCUGUGCAUCGAGAACACCUGUAUCAUUGCGCAUGACAAGGUUCACAGUAGACAAAGUCCUCACUCCACCAAUGGGGAAACAUCAUGGAUGUCUUGAAGGCCGAUGACCGCUUCAUGUGAAGAUCUUUACCAUCUGAAUCAUGUUUCUCUGAUGGAAAAGUACAGCAAAAACACUCCCUGUCAACUAUUGGCAGCUUUAAUGACUCUACAGUGCACUUCAGAGGCACAGAGCAGCAACUGCACCAACUAGGAUCAGGGAAACUUUUUUUGUUUUUUUUUUGUAGUUUGAAGCUCCUAAAAACAUGCUGGUCAAUGCCAUCCAGAGAGCAGGUAUGACUGAGCUUCUGAACCAGCAGGUGGUGUUCACCUUCUUCGCUCUCACCAAUGAUGCCUUCAAUGCACUGCCGCAGGAUGAAGGCAACAGGCUGAUGCAUGAGUUUUAUUCAACCACACAGCUUCUCUUUAUUCACAUUCUUAAUUUAUCCACAUGGACAGUUUCCAGAUAUGUGUGUAAAGCAUCUCUCUUCUUUACAGCAGCUUAUACUGAGAGGUGGCUUGUAGAGAUUUCUUAGUGGGGCUAUUUUCCUGCCAUUUAUUUGGACUGUGUGGGGUUUUUUUAUUUUGGGGGGGGGGGCUGUAAAAUAAAGCAGAACAGUGAAACCACACAGCCUCUCAUUUGAUACCAUGUCUCCUUCAGCCUCACCUCACGUCUGUCUUGACUAACAUCUCGGUUUGAAAAUGAAAUUGAAGAACAAUCAAAUCA
This is a long non-coding RNA of Oreochromis niloticus (Nile tilapia), 905 nucleotides long. RefSeq lists it as uncharacterized. The transcript has 3 exons. Lineage: Eukaryota; Metazoa; Chordata; Actinopteri; Cichliformes; Cichlidae. The record is from RefSeq and is a predicted model, not a curated record.